GCGCCCUCUACCGCUCGGUCUUUUUAAGCAGGCAGCAGCGAGGGUGAGGCUCAGGCUCCGCCCCCCCGUCGCCCCGCCCCUCAGGACUCCGCUCCGAUUCGCCUCUUCCAGCCAUACCGGUGAGCAGAGCGCGGCGGCGGUGCAGGACGGGGAAGGCGUCGAGCAGAGGUGUGAGGACGGCCUGGGUGGUGCCCAACAUGGUGCUCAGCCCCAGCCCCAGCAGCAUGAGGAAGAAGAGGGACGACCAGAGCGGUGCCGCCGGCAGCAACGUCAGUGUCUCCGUGAAGACGAUGAAGGCCAGGCCCGGGCCUUCCACCCCCUGAGGGACCCCAACCGUGAGGCACCCCCCCCCACCUGCGGAGGCAUUGCCACGUGCGGCGGGUGGCGCGGGCGCCCAGGACGGCGAAGACGACGAGGGUGGCCAGGAGGGAGGCCUGACCCGUGCCCCACGCCGACGCCUUGGGGGUGAACAUGAUGCGGACGCCCUCGGGGGCCCCCUCGAGCAGCAGCCCCCGGACCAGGAGGCAGAAGAGGACGAGACGCCGACGCUGCCCUGGCGCAGGCACUGCCCGGCCGCCAGCUCCAGGAAGAGCAGGGGGAUGCCCAGGAGGAAGAGGAGCAGCAGGUAGAGCAGGAGGAAGGCACC
Long non-coding RNA from Grus americana (Whooping crane), 646 nucleotides. RefSeq lists it as uncharacterized. Lineage: Eukaryota; Metazoa; Chordata; Aves; Gruiformes; Gruidae. The transcript has 5 exons. The record is from RefSeq and is a predicted model, not a curated record.